This 220-nucleotide ribosomal RNA is filed under the name uncultured bacterium. RNAcentral describes it as "partial 16S ribosomal RNA". It matches the Rfam family "Bacterial small subunit ribosomal RNA", at positions 28 to 253 of the family's 1533-position model. The record is from RNAcentral.
GACGAACGCUGGCGGCGUGCUUAACACAUGCAAGUCGAACGAUGAAGCCUUUCGGGGUGGAUUAGUGGCGAACGGGUGAGUAACACGUGGGCAAUCUGCCCUGUACUUUGGGAUAAGCCUUGGAAACGAGGUCUAAUACCGGAUAUGACUGGCCUUCGCAUGGGGUUGGUUGAAAGUUCUGGCGGUACAGGAUGAGCCCGCGGCCUAUCAGCUUGUUGGU